Molecule: ribosomal RNA, 445 nt
Filed under: uncultured bacterium
Lineage: Bacteria
Description: partial 16S ribosomal RNA
Rfam family: Bacterial small subunit ribosomal RNA
Source: RNAcentral
GUGGGGAAUAUUGGACAAUGGGCGAAAGCCUGAUCCAGCCAUGCCGCGUGAUAGAUGAAGGCCCUCUGGGUUGUAAAUAUCUUUUAUCUGGGAAGAAACUCCUCUAUUCUUAGAGGCCUGACGGUACCAGAGGAAUAAGCACCGGCUAACUCCGUGCCAGCAGCCGCGGUAAUACGGAGGGUGCAAGCGUUAUCCGGAUUCACUGGGUUUAAAGGGUGCGUAGGCGGGUUGAUAAGUCAGUGGUGAAAGCUCCGGGCUUAACUUGGAAACUGCCAUUGAUACUGUCAGUAUUGAAUGUCGUAGAGGUAAGCGGAAUGUUGCAUGUAGCGGUGAAAUGCUUAGAUAUGUUACAGAACACCAAUUGCGAAGGCAGCUUACUAUGCGAUAAUUGACGCUGAGGCACGAAAGCGUGGGGAGCAAACAGGAUUAGAAACCCUUGUAGUCC